UAUGGGGGGGGCUGAGCCGCCGCCGACUGCGGAGGUGUUCCGUGUCCCCGAGCUGGAGCCGACUACGGAGGUGUUCCGUGUCCCCGAGCUGGAGCCGACUACGGAGGUGUUCCGUGUCCCCGAGCUGGAGCCGACUACGGAGGUGUUCCGUGUCCCCGAGCUGGAGCCGACUACGGAGGUGUUCCGUGUCCCCGAGCCGGAGCCGACUACCGCGGAGGUGUUCCGUGUCCCCGAGCCGGAGCCGACUACCGCGGAGGUUUCCCGUGUCCCCGAGCCUGCCAUGCCAGAGACGUUCCGGAGCUGGCCAAAUGACCGUCCGCCGGGCCGCCCACCGGAGGCUCCCCGGCAGUGUGCCUAUCCGCCAGGCCGACCCCCAGAGGUUCCCCGGUCGCCUGGCCGCCCGCCGGGCCGCCCGCCAGAGUUUCCCGGGUGGUCCGACCAACGUCUCUGGUUUCCCUGCCCCCCCACCCCUUGUUUUGCUCUAGUGUGAGCCGCCUGGAAGUCGGUCCUUGAGGGGGGGGUACUGUCACGGUGUGGUUUCACUUCCUGUUGUAUUUUGUAGUUUUCUGCCACUCGUGUCCCCGGGUAACUUCACUUCCUGCCUUGUCCCGUCAUCCCCUGUGAUCGUCUAAUAGUUUCCACCUGUGUCCAAUCACCUGCACCUCCCUUGUGUAUUUAAGCCAUGUGUCUCCUGUGUCACUUGUCGCGUCAUUGUCUUU
Molecule: long non-coding RNA, 719 nt
Organism: Gasterosteus aculeatus aculeatus (three-spined stickleback)
Lineage: Eukaryota; Metazoa; Chordata; Actinopteri; Perciformes; Gasterosteidae
Source: Ensembl